GCCCCCUUAGCUCAGUUGGUAGAGUGUUUCCAUGGUAAGGAAAAGGUCAACGGUUCGAUUCCGUUAGGGGGCUCGA
Molecule: transfer RNA, 76 nt
Filed under: Candidatus Nanopelagicus limnae
Lineage: Bacteria; Bacillati; Actinomycetota; Actinomycetes; Candidatus Nanopelagicales; Candidatus Nanopelagicaceae
Also listed under: 1 other name
Description: Candidatus Nanopelagicus limnes tRNA-Thr
Rfam family: tRNA
About the family: Transfer RNA (tRNA) molecules are approximately 80 nucleotides in length.
Source: RNAcentral